GGAGAGAUGGCCGAGUUGGUUAUGGCGCCAGGUUAAGGUUUACCUUGACCCAAGAUCCUGGUGGAGCAAUCCGCGCGGGUUCGAGUCCCGUUCUCUUCA
Non-coding RNA from Tothia fuscella, 99 nucleotides. The record is from the annotation of a GenBank genome assembly. NCBI's taxonomy places the organism in Eukaryota, Fungi, Ascomycota, Dothideomycetes, Venturiales, Cylindrosympodiaceae.